GUGGGGAAUAUUAGGCAAUGGGCGAAAGCCUGACCUAGCAACGCCGCGUGAAGGAAGAAGGCCUUCGGGUUGUAAACUUCUUUUAUGAGGGACGAAGGACGUGACGGUACCUCAUGAAUAAGCCACGGCUAACUACGUGCCAGCAGCCGCGGUAAUACGUAGGUGGCGAGCGUUGUCCGGAUUUACUGGGUGUAAAGGGCGCGUAGGCGGACUGGCAAGUCAGAUGUGAAAUACAGGGGCUCAACCCCUGAACUGCAUUUGAAACUGUUGGUCUUGAGUAUCGGAGAGGCAAGCGGAAUUCCUAGUGUAGCGGUGAAAUGCGUAGAUAUUAGGAGGAACACCAGUGGCGAAGGCGGCUUGCUGGACGACAACUGACGCUGAGGCGCGAAAGCGUGGGGAGCAAACAGGAUUAGAAACCCUAGUAGUCC
RNAcentral lists this ribosomal RNA (428 nucleotides) under uncultured bacterium. RNAcentral describes it as "partial 16S ribosomal RNA". It matches the Rfam family "Bacterial small subunit ribosomal RNA", at positions 354 to 796 of the family's 1533-position model. The record is from RNAcentral.